AGAAUCAACGCUGGCGGCGUGCCUAACACAUGCAAGUCGCACGAGAAAGGGACUUCGGUCCUGAGUACAGUGGCGCACGGGUGAGUAACACGUGAAUUAUCUACCUCCGAGUGGGGAAUAACUGAGAGAAAUCUUAGCUAAUACCGCAUAACACUUACGAGUCAAAGCAGCAAUGCGCUUGGAGAGAAGUUCGCGGCAGAUUAGUUAGUUGGCGGGGUAAUGGCCCACCAAGACGAUGAUCUGUAUCCGGCCUGAGAGGGCGCACGGACACACUGGAACUGAAACACGGUCCAGACUCCUACGGGAGGCAGCAGUGGGGAAUUUUGCGCAAUGGGGGAAACCCUGACGCAGCAACGCCGCGUGGAGGAUGAAAUAUCUUGGUAUGUAAACUCCUUUCGAUGGGGAAGAUAAUGACGGUACCCAUAGAAGAAGCCCGGCUAACUUCGUGCCAGCAGCCGC
RNAcentral lists this ribosomal RNA (459 nucleotides) under uncultured bacterium. RNAcentral's name for it is "SSU rRNA". It matches the Rfam family "Bacterial small subunit ribosomal RNA", at positions 26 to 518 of the family's 1533-position model. The record is from RNAcentral.